AGAGUUUGAUCCUGGCUCAGGAUGAACGCUGGCGGCGUGCGUAACACAUGCAAGUUGAGCGACGACGUGCUUGAAGUGGCGACAUGGAGGGCGCGAGCGGAGCAGCGGACGGGUGAGUACAACAUGAGAAGCUGUCCUGUGGCGGGGGACAACGUCUAGAAAUGGACGCUAAUACCCCAUAGUCCGAGAGGUUAAAGCAGCAAUGCGCCACAGGAGGCGCUCGUGCCCUAUCAGCUAGUUGGCGAGGUAACGGCUCACCAAGGCGACGACGGGUAGCCGGCCUGAGAGGGUGUCCGGCCACACUGGGACUGAGAUACGGCCCAGACUCCUACGGGAGGCAGCAGUGGGGAAUAUUGGGCAAUGGGAGAAAUCCUGACCCAGCGACGCCGCGUGAAUGAAGAAGGCCUUCGGGUCGUAAAGUUCUUUUAUGCGGGAAGAAGGAAGUGACGGUACCGCAUGAAUAAGCCCCGGCUAACUACGUGCCAGCAGCCGCGGUAAUACGUAGGGGGCGAGCGUUGUCCGGAAUUACUGGGCGUAAAGGGCACGCAGGCGGUGCAUCAAGUCAGCUGUAAAAGGAUGCGGCUUAACCGUAUUAUGCAGUUGAGACUGAAGUACUGGAGUGCUGGAGAGGCAAGUGGAAUUCCCAGUGUAGCGGUGAAAUGCGUAGAUAUUGGGAAGAACAUCGGUGGCGAAGGCGACUUGCUGGCCAGUAACUGACGCUGAGGUGCGAAAGCCAGGGUAGCAAACGGGAUUAGAUACCCCGGUAGUCCUGGCCGUAAACGAUGAAUGCUAGGUGUGCGUGCAGAGAUGCAGGUGUGCCGCAGUUAACGCGAUAAGCAUUCCGCCUGGGGAGUACGGUCGCAAGAUUGAAACUCAAAGGAAUUGACGGGGGCCCGCACAAGCGGUGGAGCACGUGGUUUAAUUCGAUGCAAACCGAAGAACCUUACCUGGGUUUGACAUCCCCCUGACCGGUGAGUAACGUCACCUUUCCUUCGGGACAGGGGAGACAGGUGGUGCAUGGUUGUCGUCAGCUCGUGUCGUGAGAUGUUGGGUUAAGUCCCGCAACGAGCGCAACCCUUAUGGCCAGUAGCCAGCACGUCAUGGUGGGCACUCUGGCAAGACUGCCCGGGAUAACCGGGAGGAAGGUGGGGAUGACGUCAAAUCAUCAUGCCCCUUAUGAUUUGGGCAACACACGUGCUACAAUGGCGUAACAGAGAGAAGCGAUCCCGCGAGGGGGAGCAAAUCUUCAAAUAACGUCUCAGUUCGGACUGCAGUCUGCAACUCGACUGCACGAAGCUGGAAUUGCUAGUAAUCGCGAAUCAGCAUGUCGCGGUGAAUACGUUCCCGGGUCUUGUACACACCGCCCGUCACACCAUGGGAGUCAGCAACGCCCGAAGUCAGUGACCCAACCUUUCAGGAGGGAGCUGCCGAAGGCGGGGCGGAUAACUGGGGUGAAGUCGUAACAAGGUAACCGUA
This 1476-nucleotide ribosomal RNA is filed under the name uncultured rumen bacterium. RNAcentral's name for it is "bacterial SSU rRNA". It matches the Rfam family "Bacterial small subunit ribosomal RNA". The record is from RNAcentral.